Molecule: long non-coding RNA, 1607 nt
Filed under: Anas platyrhynchos platyrhynchos (common mallard)
Lineage: Eukaryota; Metazoa; Chordata; Aves; Anseriformes; Anatidae
Description: lncRNA (ENSAPLG00000022743.1)
Source: RNAcentral
CAGAAGGGUGCAAUCUUGCUCCUCCUGGGUAGUGGCAUUUAAGCUGUUGGGUUUGCCUACUGAAUGCCUGAGAAGUCUCAAUGUGGUAGCCAGCUGUGGCCUGUCACACCUUGACCACUGUGUGAUGAAGAAGCCUAGAUCAGGGAGCUGUCUGAUAUGGGGUGCUUGGUAGGAAGGGUUAAGAAAAAUAUGUUCAAAAUCCCAGUUCUCAGCAUGACUCGUGGCUAUGGGUUUGCUCUGAUAGUUCUUGCCCCAAGUCCUGGGUGCUGUGUUUGAACCACUGCUUAGAAAGAGAUUGAUUUAAAGAACACCCUGCAAGGAGGCCUUCCCACAAGCCUUGGCACGAUGUCCCUGGAGGAUGUUGAUGUUGACCUACACUGGAAGAGUGAAUUUGGAAAAAAUGCAGCAGCAGAGAGAAAGUGAGAAGUCUGGACAGGUGACUCUCAACAGGAGAAGUUCAAGAUCGCUGGUGAAUGGAAGCUUUACAGGUCCUUUCUUGGAAAGGAACAAUAUUAAAAACUUCCCAAUGAAGGGAGCAACGUGGGAGAAUGCUGAAAUACUGAAGGUUGAAGAGACAAGCUCUGCAGAGCCUCAAUGGAAGAGGUAAAUGUUGUUUCACUUCUCAGUCACUGUCUGUUGCAGUUGCUGGCUGAGUGCAGCCAGUGAUGGACUGUUGCAGAGAUGAUGUGGGCUGGGAUCAUGAGAGCACCUUGUGUCACAGCACCUCGUCAGGUGAGGUUCACGCUCCUUAAGGUGCCUGCCCUAAAAUUACUACCAUUGGACCAAAUUCUAAACUCUUUAUUCAUUCAAAAUUUUCACCAUCUUGGAACGAUGUUUUGCCUGAGCAACAACUACAGGAUUUUGCCCAUCCAUCAGCCAAAGUAACUUUACAGAGAUGACAUCAUUUAGAGUGCUCAGCCCUGGCUUGUGUACAUCCCUGCUAGGGCUAUGACUUUAGUCACUCUCACAGGAGGGUCAAAUCAGAGGCUGAUAAGCUGGUGGAGGGGAGGACUCCAAACAAGAAGUUGCAGAGAAAGGUGGUUUUUCCCCUACUUCCAGCGGGCAAGUAAUCUGAGGCAGUCAGGCAAAUAGCAACUUAAACAUAAAUUUGAAUGUAUUUAGGUGCUUUUGAUAGGAGCCCUUUUACUUCCAGUAUUAGAAUAGUUUUCUGAGUACGGUUGGGUUGGAAGGAAUCUGCAGUGCUUUUCUUAGCUGAAUGGAUGUGUAACUUAAGUCCCUGAGUCAGCUGGAGAAUUACCAAAGGAAGUGAGACAAGGACUUUGAUAGCUCUGUAUCCUGCCUUGAACAGAGGGCAACUCAGACUAUUUCAGCAGAAAUUGCAAAGUGCAGGAACAUGGAAUAAUCUACUGAAGAGGCAGUUGCUGCUUAACUGGUGAAAGAGGAAAAAAUGUCAUAUCCUCUCUAACCUGAACAGAGGUGCUUUUACCCAUGACAUUCACUCCCUCUAAUCUGCAUAGUCCUUGGCUCUGACUGCCUCAGCAGUGAGUUCCAGAGAUAAUACAUUGAGAGAUGUUGCUUUGUAUCACACACUUUUUUUUUUUUUUUUAACUACAGACUGAUGAGUGGCAGGGAGUUGGUGGAAAAUG